Long non-coding RNA from Odontomachus brunneus, 813 nucleotides. RefSeq lists it as uncharacterized. The transcript is spliced from 2 exons. Lineage: Eukaryota; Metazoa; Arthropoda; Insecta; Hymenoptera; Formicidae. The record is from RefSeq and is a predicted model, not a curated record.
GCAACCUGGCGCAGAUCGUGAAGAAUUACAAACAUCUGAAUAGGUUUAUAAUUUCUUAUCGAUAGUGUAAGGGUAGAUGUUUUUCUUCUUUCCUUUCCUUUUUUUAUCGUGAACUUAUAAUUAAUCUUCAGAAAUACCUAUGUUUUAAAGUUUGCAACAACGAUUGAAAAUGAACUGUAUUUCCUCAAUAUGAUUUAGAUACUUUCUUUUGAUUUAGAUACUUUCUGAUUCUUCAAUUGUACUUUUAUGAUUUCCAAGUCUUUAUAGUGAAUGAUGCAAAUCAGAGAUUUUAUGCUUUCAUGCUGCAACAAGAGGAUUUGUUUAACAAUUACACACUUAAAAUUAUACAGUUAAUAAACUAAUACAAUUAAUACCAAAAAAGAGAACUCUAUUUACAAAACGAUAUUUCCUGUAGUCCUUUAUUCAAAAUGAAAACUUUUAUUAAAAGAAUAAUCUUCUUCUAAUAUAAAAUGAACUCUAUUAAUCUCCUAAAUAUUAUUCAUUUUUACUUAAUUAUUUUAAACAGUAUAUCUUCUUACACGCGAUGUGUGAGACAAACAACUGUGUUUAUCAUCUAAUAAUAAUGUAUGAUAUUGGAAUCUAACUUACAGAGUAUCGGAAUGGCGUAUGACAUGUACUAAUGCAAAUGGUACGAUUUAUCAUCGAAGGAUGCGAAGGACUUGAUGUUUAUCGUACAUUGUGAUCUAAGAUUCCUCUUAAACUGCUGAAAAAUUCGCGGCCUUCGCAUUGGAGUUAUUCAGAGCGAUAACUGCCGCACCAUCUUUAAAAUCAAGCAACAGCCAUGUGUGUUUA